This 519-nucleotide ribosomal RNA is filed under the name uncultured bacterium. RNAcentral's name for it is "bacterial SSU rRNA". It matches the Rfam family "Bacterial small subunit ribosomal RNA", at positions 40 to 518 of the family's 1533-position model. The record is from RNAcentral.
CGGCAUGCCUAAGACAUGCAAGUCGAACGAAGUGGCCCAGCAAAAACUGUGUACUGUACAAGUUGGCGAUGGAAUUCCACUUAGUGGCAGACGGGUGAGUAACACGUAAGUAAUCUGCCCUCGAGACUGGAAUAAUGUCUGGAAACGGACACUAAUACCGGAUAAUUCAUAUUUAGAUAACUAUUUAUGCUAAAAGGAGCGUUUGCUCCACUUGAGGAUGAGCUUGCGGCGUAUUAACUAGUUGGUGAGGUAAUGGCUCACCAAGGUGACGAUGCGUAGCCGAACUGAGAGGUUGAUCGGCCACAUUGGGACUGAGACACGGCCCAAACUCCUACGGGAGGCAGCAGUUAGGAAUAUUCGUCAAUGGGGGAAACCCUGAACGAGCAAUGCCGCGUGAGUGAUGACGGUCUUUAUGAUUGUAAAACUCUGUUGUAAGGAACGAACCCUUGAAAUAGGAAAUGAUUUCAAGCUGACUGUACCUUACCAGAAAGCCCCGGCUAACUACGUGCCAGCCGCCGC